UGGGGAAUAUUGGGCAAUGGGCGAAAGCCUGACCCAGCAACGCCGCGUGAGUGAAGAAGGUUUUCGGAUUGUAAAGCUCUGUUGCAGGGGACGAAAAAAAUGACGGUACCCUGUGAGGAAGCCCCGGCUAACUACGUGCCAGCAGCCGCGGUAAUACGUAGGGGGCGAGCGUUGUCCGGAAUUAUUGGGCGUAAAGGGUGCGUAGGCGGUUUUUUAAGUUAGGUGUGAAAUACCCGUGCUUAACAUGGGGAUGGCAUUUAAAACUGGAGAACUUGAGUACAGGAGAGGCAAGUGGAAUUCCCGGUGUAGCGGUGAAAUGCGUAGAGAUCGGGAGGAACACCAGUGGCGAAGGCGACUUGCUGGACUGUAACUGACGCUGAGGCACGAAAGCGUGGGGAGCAAACA
This 405-nucleotide ribosomal RNA is filed under the name uncultured Bacillota bacterium. Its description in RNAcentral is "uncultured Firmicutes bacterium partial 16S ribosomal RNA". It matches the Rfam family "Bacterial small subunit ribosomal RNA", at positions 355 to 774 of the family's 1533-position model. Lineage: Bacteria; Bacillati; Bacillota. The record is from RNAcentral.